Long non-coding RNA from Clupea harengus (Atlantic herring), 1749 nucleotides. The record is from Ensembl. NCBI's taxonomy places the organism in Eukaryota, Metazoa, Chordata, Actinopteri, Clupeiformes, Clupeidae.
CACACACACACGGAGCAGCUCAACCACCAGCAGCAGUGGGCGAUGACUGCUUCAGAGGUACAGCAGUGGGCCUCACACACACACACACACACACACACACACACACACACACACACACACACACACACACACACACACACACAGGGAGCAGCUCAACCACCAGCAGCAGUGGGCGAUGACUGCUUCAGAGAACUUCUUCACGGGCCCCACCUGAAACACAACCUCUCACCUGCUUACUUUUAUUUUACUUAGACACACACUCUCACACACACCUACACACACACACUCACACACACACACACACUCACACACACACACACACACACACACACACACACACUCACGCAUACACAGACAUACAUACACACCCACACUCAGGCAUACAUAAUCACACAAUCACACACACACACACACACACACACAUACACACACUCAGGCAUACACAAUCACACACUCACACACACACACACAUAUACACACAUGCAACAUACACACCUACACCCACAUACUCUACACUCAUCGGGCCUGCAACCUUAUGUGCCAGACACCACCAUAUAUCAUCUAUGUGAAUGGAUGUCAGAUCCUCAGGUGGAUCUCACCGCACCGCACUGCACCACAGCCAAACCAGAAGAGGCUCAUCCAGCCGGGCCUUUACCCUGAAGAACCAUCCCGAGAUGACCAAACUGGACCUCUGAUUAUACACCUAAACUGCCUGAAAAUAGAAGUGUUGUAGGGUAGCAAACCCACCCAUGUCCACAGAACGUCACAAACUAUGGAAAGAUUAACGGCAGGACGUAGCUACAGCUCCUGUGACAGAACAGUACAACCUCACUGAUGUUUGCUCACUUGUGAGAUAAGCCCCAAGAGUUAGCACUGUGGACCAAGUUUACAUAGACCUCUAUUGCUCUUUUAUGCAAAGUAACACAUGGCAUCGAUGUAGCAACGUUUGGAAACUAGAAGAAUUGAAGUAAGUCUUCCAGAGGACGAUAGACGGCUCCUAAUGUUAUUUCCCUUUCUUUGAAACUUCUGUAUGUUCUCAGUGCUUCUCCGAGUUCCAAAGAACCAUUCAUAACUGCCAUGGACCCAGCCUCCUUGGUAGACAGUGUUUUUUAAGCCUUUUUUUCAUAUUAUGCAAAUGUGUGAAUUGUAUUUCUUUAAAGUGCUAUCACUGAAAUAGCGUGUUGCUGCAUUGCUGAACCAGUAAAGGGAACACAAACGAUGACUGGCUACCCCUCACUCCUGAAUUCUUCAUCUUCCUUCCUAGCUUCUUUUGUUCUUUCUGUCCUGUUUUCCCUCAACCUCAUAGACUAUUUUUCACUUCCUAUCAUCUUUAAUAUGAAUUAUGAAUGAAUAUUAUGAAUAUGAAUGAAUGUUGGUGGUGGUCGGAGGGGCCGUAGGCGCUGAUUGGCAGCCACGCUUCUGUCAGUCUGCCCCAGGGCAGCUGUGGCUACUGAUGUAGCUUACCACCACCGGUAUGACUGUGUAUGUAUGAAUGACUACUGGACUCUGGACUCUGUAAAGCGACUUCGGGUAUUUAGAGAAGCGCUAUAUAAGAUUGAAUGAUUAUUUAAAACUUAUCAGAGGUGCGAUCUAGAUGCAAAAUGCAAAAAAAAGACGGGUUUUUCCGAAUGGGUGUCUGUGUGUGUGUGUGGGGGGGGGGGGCUGGGGGGACCGUCAUUCACAUCUGUGUGAUAGGUCCAAUAGAAGGAGCGGCCCGUGUCAGAAGUGUGCCGCCUCUCAGUGACAGGA